Molecule: ribosomal RNA, 255 nt
Filed under: uncultured bacterium
Lineage: Bacteria
Description: partial 16S ribosomal RNA
Rfam family: Bacterial small subunit ribosomal RNA
Source: RNAcentral
UACAGAGGUCCCAAGCGUUGUUCGGAUUCACUGGGCGUAAAGGGUGCGUAGGUGGUGAGGUAAGUCGGAUGUGAAAGCUCGGAGCUCAACUCCGAAAUGGCAUUGGAAACUACCUUGCUCGAGGGUUGGAGGGGGGGGACUGGAAUGCUUGGUGUAGCAGUGAAAUGCGUAGAUAUCAAGCGGAACACCAGUGGCGAAGGCGAGUCCCUGGACAACUCCUGACACUGAGGCACGAAAGCUAGGGGAGCAAACAGG